This 375-nucleotide unclassified non-coding RNA is filed under the name uncultured Rickettsiales bacterium. RNAcentral's name for it is "contains 16S-23S intergenic spacer region". The record is from RNAcentral. Lineage: Bacteria; Pseudomonadati; Pseudomonadota; Alphaproteobacteria; Rickettsiales.
UCCCGCUUGUCACGGGCAGUUUCUCUAGAGUUCCCGACAUUACUCGCUGGCAACUAGAAAUGAGGGUUGCGCUCGUUGCGGGACUUAACCCAACAUCUCACGACACGAGCUGACGACAGCCAUGCAACACCUGUCUCCUCCCCGGCCGAACCGAAGGGCUUCCAUUACAAAGCCCAUAAGAGGGAUGUCAAAAGUUGGUAAGGUUUUUCGCGUAGCAUCGAAUUAAACCACAUGCUCCACCGCUUGUGCGGGUCCCCGUCAAUUCCUUUGAGUUUUAAUCUUGCGACCGUACUCCCCAGGCGGAGUGCUUAACGUGUUAACUGUGUCACUGGAAAAAUCCAACAACUAGCACUCAUCGUUUACGGCGUGGACUAC